Long non-coding RNA from Gadus chalcogrammus (walleye pollock), 578 nucleotides. RefSeq lists it as uncharacterized. NCBI's taxonomy places the organism in Eukaryota, Metazoa, Chordata, Actinopteri, Gadiformes, Gadidae. The record is from RefSeq and is a predicted model, not a curated record. The transcript has 3 exons.
AGUCAGGGGAGAGAAACGUGGUGUGAAUGCACCUUCACCGCCGAUGCAUUCGGCUUCCUCGACGGCGCACGGCACCGACACAAACAAGCCAUUGAAGUGUGAUUGAUUCUUACGAGGAAAGAGCUGGAGACUUCCACCGGCAAGACAUCUUGGUCGAAGCUUGACUUUUUCUUUUUUUUCUUUUCUUAGGAUGUACUGUUGUCCACUCGCGUUUCCCAUCUAGAGAGACUGGAUCCUGGGUAGGAUUAACAUUAAAUUCCGCUGUGGUAGCCGACUCCGAGAACAUUUGGCCAAUCGGUCACCGAAGGGCUGGAAAGAGAGCAGAGUGAACCAAAACUACUUCGCUUUUCAUCUCACAGAUUUUUCUUCUACCAGAUCAGUUUUAAUGAAGACCCAGAUCCUCCACUGACCGUCUGGCUGAAGGGACUCCAAGAAGAAGCAUGGGGUCGUCAUGGAAACCUCUUCUCCUGCUUUCCUUAAUCAGCUGCCUUUCAGACGCGGGCCGGGCCUUCGGCUGGUCCUCUUCGUCAUCGCCAUCGUCGCCAUCACUCCACUCACGGACCAGACGUAGACAGGAC